UCUUCUUCUUCAUCCUCCUCCCAUUUCCUUCAUUCCUUAUCUUCAAAACACUCAUUUUGAUCCCCAAAAACAAAGGAAGAAGUGGAGAUUUCAUCUCCUUCCAUCAAGAAGAGUUCGAUUAGGGUUUAGAGAGGAAUCGGAGGAGAAGCUUCAAGCAAAGGAAAAGAGAUUAUAGACAAGUAACCUUGGAGGGUGUUAGCUCGCCAAGUUUGUGACAGCACAGCAGCGGGAUAGAAGCGUGAAGUGCUUGGCAGAGUAGUUGUAUUUUCUUAAGCUGUGUAUGAAGCUUAUAUAUUUUGGCAUGUA
This is a long non-coding RNA of Dioscorea cayenensis subsp. rotundata (Guinea yam), 306 nucleotides long. RefSeq lists it as uncharacterized. The record is from RefSeq and is a predicted model, not a curated record. The transcript has 3 exons. NCBI's taxonomy places the organism in Eukaryota, Viridiplantae, Streptophyta, Magnoliopsida, Dioscoreales, Dioscoreaceae.